RNAcentral lists this transfer RNA (67 nucleotides) under Zubovskya koeppeni. Its description in RNAcentral is "tRNA-Thr". It matches the Rfam family "tRNA". Rfam says of the family: Transfer RNA (tRNA) molecules are approximately 80 nucleotides in length. Their secondary structure includes four short double-helical elements and three loops (D, anti-codon, and T loops). Further hydrogen bonds mediate the characteristic L-shaped molecular structure. tRNAs have two regions of fundamental functional importance: the anti-codon, which is responsible for specific mRNA codon recognition, and the 3' end, to which the tRNAs corresponding amino acid is attached (by aminoacyl-tRNA synthetases). tRNAs cope with the degeneracy of the genetic code in two manners: having more than one tRNA (with a specific anti-codon) for a particular amino acid; and 'wobble' base-pairing, i.e. permitting non-standard base-pairing at the 3rd anti-codon position. The record is from RNAcentral. Lineage: Eukaryota; Metazoa; Arthropoda; Insecta; Orthoptera; Acrididae.
GUUUUAAUAGUUUAAAAAAACAUCGGUCUUGUAAACCGAAAAUAAGUCUCCCCCCACUUUUAAAACU